Molecule: long non-coding RNA, 618 nt
Filed under: Homo sapiens (human)
Lineage: Eukaryota; Metazoa; Chordata; Mammalia; Primates; Hominidae
Description: non-protein coding lnc-CDH5-7:1
Source: RNAcentral
AAACUGGUCGCCUUAAAACCAAUUUGAAACAGGUUGUUCAGGAGCAACAAUACAAAAACAAAGUGUAGACUGGAAUGUAUUACAUUUUGGCCAAACAAAAAGAUUUGAUUCAUUCUGGCUCAUGAAGUUAGAUAAUGGUGUUUAUGGUUUUGACAGUUCACUGAAACUUUUUCACUGAACUGGUUUCUUUCGGAUGCAUUUUCUUGAGUUCUACCCAUGACUGCCACAGUAGCAGUCCUGGGAUCAGAACCCACACACCGUUAAAAAAAAAACAGGUAAAGCCAACAGUACAGCCAGCCAGUUGCUGGUGUUGAGGUUGGGGCUUCUGGUGAGCCACUCUGGGAGGAAGGUCAUCCAGCAGCCAUACAUCUCGCACACGCACAGGGUGAUCUGCAGGAAAUGCCGGUAAUAUUUUUCCUUGACUAUGGCAUAAAUGAGGAACAAUGCCAGAGACACAUCUAGGGCGACGGCCAGAAUUUCCACAGACACAAUGGUUGGAUCAAAAUAAACCCAUCUUGCAUCAGCUUUGCCAUAUUCUUUCCCAGCGCGUCGUAGCAGAGCCAGAUGAGCGCCCCGCGGUCCGUCGCCCCCCGCCCGCGGCCCAGGCGCAGGCCCAGG